UACAGAGGGUGCUAGCGUUGUCCGGAAUCAUUGGGCGUAAAGAGCGUGUAGGCGGCUUGGUAAGUCCGCUGUGAAAGUCCAGGGCUCAACCCUGGAAUGCCAGUGGAAACUGCCAAGCUAGAGUCCGGAAGAGGCGAGUGGAACUCCUGGUGUAGCGGUGAAAUGCGCAGAUAUCAGGAAGAACACCAAUGGCGAAGGCAGCUCGCUGGGACGGUACUGACGCUGAGACGCGAAAGCGUGGGGAGCAAACAGG
RNAcentral lists this ribosomal RNA (253 nucleotides) under uncultured bacterium. RNAcentral's name for it is "partial 16S ribosomal RNA". It matches the Rfam family "Bacterial small subunit ribosomal RNA", at positions 524 to 776 of the family's 1533-position model. The record is from RNAcentral.